UGGCUGGUCAAACGGAACCAAGUCCGUCUUCCUGAGAGGUUUGGUCCCCUUCAACCAGCUA
MicroRNA precursor from Erinaceus europaeus (western European hedgehog), 61 nucleotides. Ensembl annotates it as microRNA 133b. Its record names the gene MIR133B. Lineage: Eukaryota; Metazoa; Chordata; Mammalia; Eulipotyphla; Erinaceidae. The record is from Ensembl.